Molecule: ribosomal RNA, 372 nt
Filed under: uncultured bacterium
Lineage: Bacteria
Description: bacterial SSU rRNA
Rfam family: Bacterial small subunit ribosomal RNA
Source: RNAcentral
GAUGAACGCUGGCGGUAUGCUUAACACAUGCAAGUCGAACGAAAUACGAUGGGGUUUACUCUAUCGUAUGGCAGUGGCGGACGGGUGCGUAACGCGUAAGAACUUACCUUUUGGCGAGGGACAACCGCGGGAAACUGCGGCUAAUACCUCAUAGAGCUGAGGAGCGAAAGGUGAAAACCACCAAAAGAGAGGCUUGCGUCUGAUUAGCUAGUUGGUGAGGGUAAUGGCCUCCCAAGGCGACGAUCAGUAGCUGGUCUGAGAGGAUGAUCAGCCACACUGGAACUGAGACACGGGUCCAGACUCCUACGGGAGGCAGCAGUGAGGAAUUUUGGACAAUGGGCGCAAGCCUGAUCCAGCAAUGCCGCGUGCAGG